Molecule: transfer RNA, 74 nt
Filed under: Prototheca cutis
Lineage: Eukaryota; Viridiplantae; Chlorophyta; Trebouxiophyceae; Chlorellales; Chlorellaceae
Description: tRNA-Arg
Rfam family: tRNA
About the family: Transfer RNA (tRNA) molecules are approximately 80 nucleotides in length.
Source: RNAcentral
AAGCUCGUAACUCAGUGGAAUAGAGUACAUAUUUCCGGAAUAUGAAGACGUAGGUUUGAAUCCUACCGAGCUUG